RNAcentral lists this ribosomal RNA (371 nucleotides) under uncultured bacterium. RNAcentral describes it as "bacterial SSU rRNA". It matches the Rfam family "Bacterial small subunit ribosomal RNA", at positions 527 to 896 of the family's 1533-position model. The record is from RNAcentral.
GUAGGUGGCAAGCGUUAUCCGGAUUUAUUGGGCGUAAAGCGAGCGCAGGCGGUCUUUUAAGUCUAAUGUGAAAGCCUUCGGCUCAACCGAAGAAGUGCAUUGGAAACUGGGAGACUUGAGUGCAGAAGAGGACAGUGGAACUCCAUGUGUAGCGGUGAAAUGCGUAGAUAUAUGGAAGAACACCAGUGGCGAAGGCGGCUGUCUGGUCUGUAACUGACGCUGAGGCUCGAAAGCAUGGGUAGCGAACAGGAUUAGAUACCCUGGUAGUCCAUGCCGUAAACGAUGAUUACUAAGUGUUGGAGGGUUUCCGCCCUUCAGUGCUGCAGCUAACGCAUUAAGUAAUCCGCCUGGGGAGUACGACCGCAAGGUUG